RNAcentral lists this long non-coding RNA (1455 nucleotides) under Cyanistes caeruleus (blue tit). RNAcentral's name for it is "lncRNA (ENSCCEG00000004317.1)". The record is from RNAcentral. Lineage: Eukaryota; Metazoa; Chordata; Aves; Passeriformes; Paridae.
AUGCUGUACCGGGUGUGCCAGGUGUAUCUCAGGUGUGUCUCAGGUGUAUCUCAGGUGUGCCAGGUGUGUCUCAGGUGUAUCUCAGGUGUCUCAGGUGUAUCUCAGGUGUAUCUCAGGUGUAUCUCAGGUGUGUCUCAGGUGUAUCUCAGGUGUAUCUCAGGUGUGUCUCAGGUGUAUCUCAGGUGUAUCUCAGGUGUAUCUCAGGUGUAUCUCAGGUGUGUCUCAGGUAUCUCAGGUGUCUCAGGUGUAUCUCAGGUGUGUCUCAGGUGUGUCUCAGGUGUGUUUUUGGGCUCCCAGCGGGGUGAUGCUGUACCAGGUGUAUCUCAGGUGUAUCUCAGGUGUAUCUCAGGUGUAUCUCAGGUGUGCCAGGUGUAUCUCAGGUGUAUCUCAGGUGUGUUUUUGGGCUCCCAGCGGGGUGAUGCUGUGCCAGGUGUAUCUCAGGUGUAUCUCAGGUGUGUCUCAGGUGUAUCUCAGGUAUCUCAGGUGUAUCUCAGGUGUCUCAGGUGUGUCUCAGGUGUAUCUCAGGUGUGUCUCAGGUGUAUCUCAGGUAUCUCAGGUGUCUCAGGUGUAUCUCAGGUGUGUCUCAGGUGUCUCAGGUGUGUCUCAGGUGUGUUUUUGGGCUCCCAGCGGGGUGAUGCUGUACCUGGUGUGGUUCAGGUGUAUCUCAGGUGUGUCUCAGGUGUAUCUCAGGUGUAUCUCAGGUGUAUCUCAGGUGUGUCUCAGGUGUAUCUCAGGUGUAUCUCAGGUGUGGUUCAGGUGUGUUUUUGGGCUCCCAGCGGGGUGAUGCUGUACCAGGUGUAUCUCAGGUGUAUCUCAGGUGUGCCAGGUGUAUCUCAGGUGUAUCUCAGGUGUAUCUCAGGUGUCUCAGGUGUAUCUCAGGUGUAUCUCAGGUGUGUCUCAGGUGUGUCUCAGGUGUAUCUCAGGUGUAUCUCAGGUGUAUCUCAGGUGUAUCUCAGGUGUGUCUCAGGUAUCUCAGGUGUCUCAGGUGUAUCUCAGGUGUGUCUCAGGUGUGUCUCAGGUGUGUUUUUGGGCUCCCAGCGGGGUGAUGCUGUGCCAGGUGUGUCUCAGGUGUGCCAGGUGUAUCUCAGGUGUGUCUCAGGUGUAUCUCAGGUGUGUCUCAGGUGUAUCUCAGGUGUAUCUCAGGUGUGUCUCAGGUGUAUCUCAGGUGUGUCUCAGGUGUGUCUCAGGUGUGCCAGGUGUGUCUCAGGUGUAUCUCAGGUGUAUCUCAGGUGUAUCUCAGGUGUGCCAGGUGUGUCUCAGGUGUGUCUCAGGUGUGUCUCAGGUGUGUUUUUGGGCUCCCAGCGGGGUGAUGCUGUGCCAGGUGUAUCUCAGGUGUGUCUCAGGUGUGUCUCAGGUGUGUCUCAGGUGUCUCAGGUGUAUCUCAGGUGUGCCAGGUGUGGUUCAGGUGUAUCUCAGGUGUGUCUCAGGUGUGUUUUUGGGCUCCCAGCGGGGUGA